GGCGGGGUAGCUCAGUCGGUUAGAGCGUCGGAUUCAUAACCCGAAGGUCGAGGGUUCGAUUCCCUCCCCCGCUA
This 74-nucleotide transfer RNA is filed under the name Bacillota bacterium. RNAcentral describes it as "tRNA-Met". It matches the Rfam family "tRNA". From Rfam's summary of the family: Transfer RNA (tRNA) molecules are approximately 80 nucleotides in length. Their secondary structure includes four short double-helical elements and three loops (D, anti-codon, and T loops). Lineage: Bacteria; Bacillati; Bacillota. RNAcentral also lists the same sequence under 2 other names. The record is from RNAcentral.